RNAcentral lists this unclassified non-coding RNA (228 nucleotides) under plant metagenome. RNAcentral describes it as "partial contains small subunit ribosomal RNA, internal transcribed spacer 1, and 5.8S ribosomal RNA". The record is from RNAcentral.
UCUCCGUAGGUGAACCUGCGGAGGGAUCAUUACAGAGUUCAUGCCCUUACGGGUAGAUCUCCACCCUAUGUUAUCGUUACCUUUGUUGCUUUGGCGGGCCGUCAGGCCUCGGUCAGACUACCGGCUCCGGCUGGUAAGUGCCCGCCAGAGGAUAUCAAACCUUGGAUUUAAUGUCGUCUGAGUACUAUAUAAUAGUUAAAACUUUCAACAACGGAUCUCUUGGUUCUG